This 344-nucleotide small RNA is filed under the name Histoplasma ohiense. Its description in RNAcentral is "hypothetical lncRNA". The record is from RNAcentral. Lineage: Eukaryota; Fungi; Ascomycota; Eurotiomycetes; Onygenales; Ajellomycetaceae.
AGCGAUUAGCUACACUACGCUACAUUACACUACUAUACUAUAUUGCUUUACAAAUAUUACUAUUAUCUCCGCUACGCUAUAAACUAUCUUCUACUGUUACUCUUCACACUGUCACUACCCCCCUUUUUUAAUAAGAGCUGCCCUCAGUGAUUGUAUAGAUUGCUUGCUAGUAGAUAAUUGCAUUCCCAUAUUGUAAGUUCCGCUUGUUGAUAGCAGUAUAUCGAUCGCGUCCCCUAGAUAGCUUGUAUACGCGUUGUUAUUGAUUUCCUAAUGAGAUGGAAUUGGUGGAUUCUUUGGUUGCUAGAGGUUGUGUGCAGAGAAGCAAAAAGAAUUUCUUUCUCCUU